AACGAACGCUGGCGGCAGGCCUAAACAUGCAAGUCGAACGCUCUAGCAAUAGAGAGUGGCGCACGGGUGAGUAACACGUGGGAAUGUGCCUUUUGGUACGGAACAACUUUUGGAAACGAAAGACUAAUACCGUAUGGUCCCUUCGGGGUAAAGAUUUAUCGCCAAAAGAGCAGCCCGCGUCUGAUUAGCUAGUUGGUGAGGUAAUGGCUCACCAAGGCGACGAUCAGUAGCGGUCUGAGAGGACGAUCAGCCACACU
This 257-nucleotide ribosomal RNA is filed under the name uncultured bacterium. RNAcentral describes it as "partial 16S ribosomal RNA". It matches the Rfam family "Bacterial small subunit ribosomal RNA", at positions 29 to 314 of the family's 1533-position model. The record is from RNAcentral.